Molecule: transfer RNA, 75 nt
Filed under: Treponema porcinum
Lineage: Bacteria; Pseudomonadati; Spirochaetota; Spirochaetia; Treponematales; Treponemataceae
Also listed under: 1 other name
Description: tRNA_Gly_GCC
Rfam family: tRNA
About the family: Transfer RNA (tRNA) molecules are approximately 80 nucleotides in length.
Source: RNAcentral
GCGGAAAUAGCUCAGUGGUAGAGCGCCACCUUGCCAAGGUGGAUGUCGCGGGUCCGACUCCCGUUUUCCGCUCUA